RNAcentral lists this small nuclear RNA (107 nucleotides) under Phascolarctos cinereus (koala). The record is from RNAcentral. Lineage: Eukaryota; Metazoa; Chordata; Mammalia; Diprotodontia; Phascolarctidae.
GUGCCCGCUUCAGCAGCACAUAUAUUAAAAUUGGAACAAUAUGGAGUAGAUUAGCAUGGCCCCUGUGCAAGGAUGGCACGCAAAUUCGUGAAGCGUUCCAUAUUUUU